RNAcentral lists this small RNA (126 nucleotides) under Marmota monax (woodchuck). Lineage: Eukaryota; Metazoa; Chordata; Mammalia; Rodentia; Sciuridae. The record is from RNAcentral.
GCUGGGCGUGGUGGUGCAUGCCUGUAAUCCCAGCAUCUUGGGAGGCUGAGGCAGGAGAAUUGCGAGUUCAAAGCCAGCCUCAGCAACUGUGAGGCACUAAGGCAACUCAGUGAGACCCUAUCUCUA